GAUGAACGCUGGCGGUAUGCUUAACACAUGCAAGUCGAACGGACUCUUCGGAGUUAGUGGCGGACGGGUGAGUAACGCGUGAGAAUCUGGCUUUGGGUUCGGGACAACCACUGGAAACGGUGGCUAAUACCGGAUGUGCCGAGAGGUAAAAGAGAAAUUGCCUGAAGAUGAGCUCGCGUCUGAUUAGCUAGUUGGUGAGGUAAAGGCUCACCAAGGCAGCGAUCAGUAGCUGGUCUGAGAGGAUGACCAGCCACACUGGGACUGGGACACGGCCCAGACUCCUAAGGGAGGCAGCAGUGGGGAAUUUUCCGCAAUGGGCGAAAGCCUGACGGAGCAAUACCGCGUGAGGGAAGAAGGCUCUUGGGUUGUAAACCUCUUUUCUUAGGGAAGAACAAAAUGACGGUACCUAAGGAAUCAGCAUCGGCUAACUCCGUG
This 435-nucleotide ribosomal RNA is filed under the name uncultured bacterium. RNAcentral's name for it is "partial 16S ribosomal RNA". It matches the Rfam family "Bacterial small subunit ribosomal RNA", at positions 28 to 507 of the family's 1533-position model. The record is from RNAcentral.